GGGGGCGUCCGGUCUCGACGGGGCAAGUGGGCUUUGGGAUUGCGAGCCGAAGGCGUGAGCGAUACAGCGCAGGCAACACAAAUGCCAAUAAUGAGCGACAGCUCGCCCUCGCUGCGUAAGCAGUAGAUGACGAGUUCCCGGGACGUAGGAGCCCGGGCAUCGCCCCCGGCGGCGCCGGCCGGUCGGGGUAACGGUGUCACAUUUGCCGGCUUGCUCGGGCGGGGGCGCGACGGCCCCGCUCAGGGACUUUCACCGGCGCUGGCCGUCAGGGAUCCUGCCGAGAGGAGCCCUGCGGUGAGAGCAAAAUCCCGGCUACGCUCGUAGAGAUCCCAGGGGACGCUGCUUCGGACGCGGGUUCAACUCCCGCCGCCUCCACCA
This 378-nucleotide transfer-messenger RNA is filed under the name Candidatus Dormiibacterota bacterium. RNAcentral describes it as "candidate division AD3 bacterium transfer-messenger RNA". It matches the Rfam family "transfer-messenger RNA". From Rfam's summary of the family: Bacterial tmRNA, also known as 10Sa RNA or SsrA, is named for its dual tRNA and mRNA-like properties. Its role is to liberate the mRNA from a stalled ribosome. The record is from RNAcentral. Lineage: Bacteria; Bacillati; Candidatus Dormiibacterota. RNAcentral also lists the same sequence under 2 other names.